UUGGCGAACGGGUGAGUAACGCGUGAGUAACCUGCCCUAGAGUGGGGGACAACAGUUGGAAACGACUGCUAAUACCGCAUAAGCCCACGGUGCCGCAUGACACUGAGGGAAAAGGAUUUAUUCGCUUUAGGAUGGACUCGCGUCCAAUUAGCUAGUUGGUGAGGUAACGGCCCACCAAGGCGACGAUUGGUAGCCGGACUGAGAGGUUGAACGGCCACAUUGGGACUGAGACACGGCCCAG
This 241-nucleotide ribosomal RNA is filed under the name uncultured bacterium. Its description in RNAcentral is "partial 16S ribosomal RNA". It matches the Rfam family "Bacterial small subunit ribosomal RNA", at positions 95 to 334 of the family's 1533-position model. The record is from RNAcentral.